GAUCCUGGCUCAGGAUGAACGCUAGCGGCAGGCUUAAUACAUGCAAGUCGAGGGGCAGCAGGGUAGCAAUAUCGCUGGCGACCGGCGCACGGGUGCGUAACACGUAUACAAUCUGCCUUUAACAGGGGGAUAGCCCGGAGAAAUCCGGAUUAAUACCCCAUAAUAGUAGAACUGGCAUCAGUUUAUUGAAAGCUCCGGCGGUUAAAGAUGAGUAUGCGUCUGAUUAGCUAGUUGGUGAGGUAACGGCUCACCAAGGCGACGAUCAGUAGGGGAUCUGAGAGGAUUAACCCCCCACACGGAUACUGAGACACGGAUCCGACUCCUACGGGAGGCAGCAGUAAGGAAUAUUGGACAAUGCCCGCAAGGGUGAUCCAGCCAUGCCGCGUGCAGGAAGACGGCCCUAUGGGUUGUAAACUGCUUUUACACCGGAGAAAACCUCCCCUCGUGAGGGGAGCUGAUAGUAUGGUGAGAAUAAGCAUCGGCUAACUUCGUG
RNAcentral lists this ribosomal RNA (493 nucleotides) under uncultured bacterium. RNAcentral's name for it is "bacterial SSU rRNA". It matches the Rfam family "Bacterial small subunit ribosomal RNA", at positions 15 to 507 of the family's 1533-position model. The record is from RNAcentral.